AGCUUUGCACAGUGGCAGUAUCGUAGCCAAUGAGGUUUAUCCAAGGCACGAUUACUGCUAACUGAUUUCUGAAAAAAUAGUCUUUAAAACAAAACAAAAUGUUACUAGGCAUAUAGAGGGACAUUUAAUAAUA
Ailuropoda melanoleuca (giant panda) is the source of this 133-nucleotide non-coding RNA. NCBI's taxonomy places the organism in Eukaryota, Metazoa, Chordata, Mammalia, Carnivora, Ursidae. The record is from Rfam.